This 253-nucleotide ribosomal RNA is filed under the name uncultured bacterium. RNAcentral's name for it is "partial 16S ribosomal RNA". It matches the Rfam family "Bacterial small subunit ribosomal RNA", at positions 524 to 776 of the family's 1533-position model. The record is from RNAcentral.
UACGUAGGGAGCAAGCGUUGUCCGGAAUCAUUGGGCGUAAAGCGCGCGUAGGUGGCCUCGUAAGUCCGCUGUGAAAGUCGAAGGCUCAACCUUUGAAAGCCGGUGGAUACUGUGAGGCUAGAGUACGGAAGAGGCGAGUGGAAUUCCUGGUGUAGCGGUGGAAUGCGCAGAUAUCAGGAGGAACACCAAUAGCGAAGGCAGCUCGCUGGGACGUUACUGACACUGAGGCGCGAAAGCGUGGGGAGCGAACAGG